AGUAAUGUGUGUAGCUAACCGAUACUAAUAGCUCGAUUGAUUUACUUUGCUGUGAGAUUACAUAUGCAUAUAGUGUUAAUGCUAUAAGAGUGUAGUAUCAACUCACAAAGUUAUCAGGUUAAAUAGCUUUAUCAACUAAUAAAAAUGUUAUUGCAUAACUAAUGUUAUACUGUAGCCCCGCCACGAUAUCCAGCGAAAAUUAUUUUGCUGAGUAUCGUAGUAAAAGUUAAGAUAUGAUGUUAAGAAUUUUUUUGAGUCGUGCAAUAACAUUAACAGCAA
Molecule: ribosomal RNA, 279 nt
Filed under: Rickettsia conorii subsp. raoultii
Lineage: Bacteria; Pseudomonadati; Pseudomonadota; Alphaproteobacteria; Rickettsiales; Rickettsiaceae
Description: Rickettsia raoultii partial large subunit ribosomal RNA
Source: RNAcentral